AUGUCAGACACAGGACAACACACACUUUCAGUUUCUUUCUCCUCUUCCUCUUGUAUUAGAGGGGGGAAGAGGAGAAAGGAUUUCUUCAAAAUUUACACUAACUGGUAUUUGAACCCUUAGCGAUCAUGUUGCAAUUCUAUUCCAAACGUUGAAAUAGAAGCCCGGAAAAUACGAAAUUCUUCUGAUCGCCAAGUGAUUAUGGGAACUAGUCAACAAGUAAUUAUAAGCUGUGUCUGUUUCCAUUUUCCCCCUAUGGAGUCUCGCUCCGAAUCCGUCCCUGAGUGACGGCAAACAGUUCCGAAUAUGGAAGACGCAAAGGAAAUGCAACAAGUCCAUAGAACUUCAGGGAAAAGGUUUUUCGUUAACCCAUUCAUGAAGUGACUCAUCAUUUGGCCACAUGAAUCCGUCCCUCAAGAUUUGCAUAUCACUAAUCGCCUUCCACUUGGAUAUAGAACCGGUCGACGCCGCAGAUUCCCAGGGAGGUUCUACACAAUUCUAAAUGCCUUCUGGAAACAGCUGAAUAUAUCAAAAACCUUCUAACAUUACUGAAUAGUAUUUGCCAAGCUGCGUAACCACCUGUACUGCUGC
Penaeus chinensis is the source of this 588-nucleotide long non-coding RNA. RefSeq lists it as uncharacterized. Lineage: Eukaryota; Metazoa; Arthropoda; Malacostraca; Decapoda; Penaeidae. The record is from RefSeq and is a predicted model, not a curated record. The transcript has 3 exons.